GAUGAACGCUGGCGGCGUGCCUAAUACAUGCAAGUCGAGCGAACGGACGAGAAGCUUGCUUCUCUGAUGUUAGCGGCGGACGGGUGAGUAACACGUGGAUAACCUACCUAUAAGACUGGGAUAACUUCGGGAAACCGGAGCUAAUACCGGAUAAUAUUUUGAACCGCAUGGUUCAAAAGUGAAAGACGGUCUUGCUGUCACUUAUAGAUGGAUCCGCGCUGCAUUAGCUAGUUGGUAAGGUAACGGCUUACCAAGGCAACGAUGCAUAGCCGACCUGAGAGGGUGGUCGGCCACACGGGAACUGAGACAGGGUCCAGACUCCGACGGGAGGCAGCAGUAGGGAAUCUUCCGCGAUGGGCGAAAGCCUGACGGAGCAACGCCGCGUGAGUGAUGAAGGUCUUCGGAUCGUAAAACUCUGUUAUUAGGGAAGAACAUAUGUGUAAGUAACUGUGCACAUCUUGACGGUACCUAAUCAGAAAGCCACGGCUAACUACGUG
RNAcentral lists this ribosomal RNA (497 nucleotides) under uncultured bacterium. Its description in RNAcentral is "partial 16S ribosomal RNA". It matches the Rfam family "Bacterial small subunit ribosomal RNA", at positions 28 to 507 of the family's 1533-position model. The record is from RNAcentral.